This 592-nucleotide ribosomal RNA is filed under the name Herbaspirillum huttiense subsp. huttiense. RNAcentral's name for it is "bacterial SSU rRNA". It matches the Rfam family "Bacterial small subunit ribosomal RNA", at positions 67 to 652 of the family's 1533-position model. Lineage: Bacteria; Pseudomonadati; Pseudomonadota; Betaproteobacteria; Burkholderiales; Oxalobacteraceae. The record is from RNAcentral.
CGGCAGCAUAGGAGCUUGCUCCUGAUGGCGAGUGGCGAACGGGUGAGUAAUAUAUCGGAACGUGCCCUAGAGUGGGGGAUAACUAGUCGAAAGACUAGCUAAUACCGCAUACGAUCUACGGAUGAAAGUGGGGGAUCGCAAGACCUCAUGCUCCUGGAGCGGCCGAUAUCUGAUUAGCUAGUUGGUGGGGUAAAAGCCUACCAAGGCAACGAUCAGUAGCUGGUCUGAGAGGACGACCAGCCACACUGGGACUGAGACACGGCCCAGACUCCUACGGGAGGCAGCAGUGGGGAAUUUUGGACAAUGGGGGCAACCCUGAUCCAGCAAUGCCGCGUGAGUGAAGAAGGCCUUCGGGUUGUAAAGCUCUUUUGUCAGGGAAGAAACGGUAGUAGCGAAUAACUAUUACUAAUGACGGUACCUGAAGAAUAAGCACCGGCUAACUACGUGCCAGCAGCCGCGGUAAUACGUAGGGUGCAAGCGUUAAUCGGAAUUACUGGGCGUAAAGCGUGCGCAGGCGGUUGUGUAAGUCAGAUGUGAAAUCCCCGGGCUCAACCUGGGAAUUGCAUUUGAGACUGCACGGCUAGAGUGUGUC